This 1236-nucleotide ribosomal RNA is filed under the name Triticum aestivum (bread wheat). Its description in RNAcentral is "partial small subunit ribosomal RNA". The record is from RNAcentral. Lineage: Eukaryota; Viridiplantae; Streptophyta; Magnoliopsida; Poales; Poaceae.
AUGUGGGACGUUGGGAAGGUCAAGGCCAAGGACGCCGUGCAGUUACUCGAGGCUGAAGGUGGAACGAACAUCCUCAAGGGCCUCACCGAGGCUGCCAAAGUGCUCGACGGCCGACGGCACAAGAACGCCGUGGUCAGCGUCAUCCUUCUCUCGGACGGCCAGGACACGUACAAUCUCGAUCUUGGAGGUUACGGUUACAGCUCCUACCAGACAAACUACCGUGGUCUCGUGCCAAGCUCCUUGCUAAGCGGUGCCGGCCACCGAUCGACGCCGAUACACACGUUCGGCUUUGGCGUCGACCACGACUCGUCAGCCAUGCACACGAUCGCCGAGGAGACCGGCGGCACGUUCUCCUUCAUCGAGGACGAGAAGGUGGUGCAGGACUCGUUCGCGCAGUGCAUCGGCGGGCUCCUCUCCGUGGUCGUGCAGGAGGCGCUGAUCACCGUCAAGUGCGUGGACCCGGUGCGCGUCCGUGCAGUCAAGUCCGGCCGCUACAACACCAGCAUCGACGCGUACGGGCGCUCCGCCUCGGUGGACGUCGGCGAGCUCUACGCGGACGAGGAAAGGCGCUUCCUGCUCCUGGUAGACGUGCCGAGGGCCGGCGACGCGGACGACGUGACGCAGCUCGUGAAGGUGACCUGCACCUACCGCGACACGGCGACCGGGCAGGUGCUGGACGUGGCAGGGGAGAACGUGGCGGUGCAGAGGCCGGUGGAGCUGGCCAAGGACCAGCAGCCGUCCAUGGACGUGGCGCGGGAGAAAUUCCGCGUGGAGGCGACGGAGGACAUCGCGGCGGCGCGCGCGGCCGCGGAGCGCGGCGAGUACACGGAGGCCGCGAGGAUACUGGAGCGCAGGCGGGAGGCGCUCCUGCCGGCGCUGGCCGACGACGCGAGGUGCAAGGCACUGGUGGAGGAGCUGCGGGAGCUGAGCACCCGCGUGGCCAGCCGGCGGGAGUACGAGAAGUCGGGGCGCGCGUGCAUCCUGACCGGCUACAGCUCCCACGCGCAGCAGCGCGCCGCGUCAGCCUUCGUGGCCGGUGCCGAGGGGUACGGCUGUCCCCAGCCGGGCGGGGCGGCUCCGGGCGCGGCGCCGUCGAUUCUUGGUUUUGGCGCGGCUGGGGCGUACGCGACGCCGGCGAUGCAGAGGAUGGUUGGCGCGUCGAGGCAAAUACGUGAGCAGCAGCAGCAGCCGGCGACCUCCAAGAGGAAGAGCGGAAGCAAUGGCGGUGCCUACUAA